RNAcentral lists this ribosomal RNA (440 nucleotides) under uncultured bacterium. RNAcentral's name for it is "partial 16S ribosomal RNA". It matches the Rfam family "Bacterial small subunit ribosomal RNA", at positions 338 to 795 of the family's 1533-position model. The record is from RNAcentral.
CCUACGGGUGGCAGCAGUGGGGAAUAUUGCACAAUGGGGGAAACCCUGAUGCAGCGACGCCGCGUGAGUGAAGAAGUAUUUCGGUACGUAAAGCUCUAUCAGCAGGGAAGAAAAUGACGGUACCUGACUAAGAAGCCCCGGCUAACUACGUGCCAGCAGCCGCGGUAAUACGUAGGGGGCAAGCGUUAUCCGGAUUUACUGGGUGUAAAGGGAGCGUAGACGGCAGCGCAAGUCUGAAGUGAAAUCCCAUGGCUUAACCAUGGAACUGCUUUGGAAACUGUGCAGCUGGAGUGCAGGAGAGGUAAGCGGAAUUCCUAGUGUAGCGGUGAAAUGCGUAGAUAUCACGAAGAACUCCGAUUGCGAAGGCAGCUCACUGGACUGCAACUGACACUGAUGCUCGAAAGUGUGGGUAUCAAACAGGAUUAGAUACCCCAGUAGUC